GACGAACGCUGGCGGCGUGCUUAGCACAUGCAAGUCGAACGGAGAGGCCCUGCUUUUGUGGGGUGCUCGAGUGGCGAACGGGUGAGUAACACGUGAGUAACCUGCCCUUGACUUUGGGAUAACUUCAGGAAACUGGGGCUAAUACCGGAAAGGAGCUCCUGCUGCAUGGUGGGGGUGGGAAAGUUUCGGCGGUUGGGGAUGGACUCGCGGCUUAUCAGCUUGUUGGUGGGGUAGUGGCUUACCAAGGCUUUGACGGGUAGCCGGCCUGAGAGGGUGACCGGCCACAUUGGGACUGAGAUACGGCCCAGACUCCUACGGGAGGCAGCAGUGGGGAAUAUUGCACAAUGGGCGGAAGCCUGAUGCAGCAACGCCGCGUGCGGGAUGACGGCCUUCGGGUUGUAAACCGCUUUCGCCUGUGACGAAGCGUGAGUGACGGUAAUGGGUAAAGAAGCACCGGCUAACUACGUG
This 468-nucleotide ribosomal RNA is filed under the name uncultured bacterium. RNAcentral describes it as "partial 16S ribosomal RNA". It matches the Rfam family "Bacterial small subunit ribosomal RNA", at positions 28 to 507 of the family's 1533-position model. The record is from RNAcentral.